AACGAACACUGGCGGCGUGCCUAACACAUGCAAGUCGUGCGAGAAAGUUCCUUCGGGAGCGAGUAAAGCGGCGCACGGGUGAGUAACACGUAGGUAACCUGCCCCCCAGUCUGGAACAACUAGAGGAAACUCUAGCUAAUGCCGGAUGAGACCACGAUCCCUUCGGGGGUUGCGGCCAAAGAUGGCCUCUACUUGUAAGCUAUCGCUGAGGGAUGGGCCUGCGGGCCAUUAGCUUGUUGGUGAGGUAACGGCUCACCAAGGCUGUGAUGGCUAGCUGGUCUGAGAGGAUGACCAGCCACACUGGGACUGAGACACGGCCCAGACUCCUACGGGAGGCAGCAGUGGGGAAUAUUGCGCAAUGGGCGAAAGCCUGACGCAGCGACGCCGCGUGGGUGAUGAAGGCCU
RNAcentral lists this ribosomal RNA (405 nucleotides) under uncultured bacterium. RNAcentral describes it as "bacterial SSU rRNA". It matches the Rfam family "Bacterial small subunit ribosomal RNA", at positions 29 to 417 of the family's 1533-position model. The record is from RNAcentral.